This 1247-nucleotide ribosomal RNA is filed under the name Candidatus Phytoplasma trifolii. RNAcentral describes it as "bacterial SSU rRNA". It matches the Rfam family "Bacterial small subunit ribosomal RNA", at positions 127 to 1375 of the family's 1533-position model. Lineage: Bacteria; Bacillati; Mycoplasmatota; Mollicutes; Acholeplasmatales; Acholeplasmataceae. The record is from RNAcentral.
UGCCUUUAAGACGAGGAUAACAACCGGAAGGUUACUAAGACUGGAUAGGAAACAAAAAGGCAUCUUUUUGUUUUUAAAAGACCUUCUUACGAAGGUAUGCUUAAAGAGGGGCUUGCGCCACAUUAGUUAGUUGUUAGAGUAAAAGCCUACCAAGACGAUGAUGUGUAGCUGGACUGAGAGGUUGAACAGCCACAUUGGGACUGAGACACGGCCCAAACUCCUACGGGAGGCAGCAGUAGGGAAUUUUCGGCAAUGGAGGAAACUCUGACCGAGCAACGCCGCGUGAACGAUGAAGUAUUUCGGUAUUUAAAGUUCUUUUAUUGAAGAAGAAAAGGUAGUGGAAAAACUAUAUUGACGUUAUUCAAUGAAUAAGCCCCGGCUAACUAUGUGCCAGCAGCCGCGGUAAGACAUAGGGGGCGAGCGUUAUCCGGAAUUAUUGGGCGUAAAGGGUGCGUAGGCUGUUAGAUAAGUCUAUAAUUUAAUUUCAGUGCUUAACGCUGUCUUGUUAUAGAAACUGUCUUGACUAGAGUGAGAUAGAGGCAAGCGGAAUUCCAUGUGUAGCGGUAAAAUGUGUAAAUAUAUGGAGGAACACCAGAAGCGUAGGCGGCUUGCUGGGUCUUUACUGACGCUGAGGCACGAAAGCGUGGGUAGCAAACAGGAUUAGAUACCCUGGUAGUCCACGCCGUAAACGAUGAGUACUAAGUGUCGGGGUAAAACUCGGUACUGAAGUUAACACAUUAAGUACUCCACCUGGGUAGUACGUACGCAAGUAUGAAACUUAAAGGAAUUGACGGGACCCCGCACAAGCGGUGGAUCAUGUUGUUUAAUUCGAAGAUACACGAAAAAUCUUACCAGGUCUUGACAUACUCUGCAAAGCUAUAGAAAUAUAGUGGAGGUUAUCAGGGAUACAGGUGGUGCAUGGUUGUCGUCAGUUCGUGUCGUGAGAUGUUAGUUAACCUAAAACGAACGCAACCCUUGUCGUUAAUUGCCAGCACAUAAUGGUGGGGACUUUAACGAGACUGCCAAUUAAACAUUGGAGGAAGGUGAGGAUUACGUCAAAUCAUCCUGCCCCUUAUGAUCUGGGCUCCAAACGUGAUACAAUGGCUGUGACAAAGAGUAGCUGAAACGCGAGUUUUUAGCCAAUCUCAAAAAAGCAGUCUCAGUUCGGAUUGAAGUCUGUAACUCGACUUCAUGAAGUUGGAAUCGCUAGUAAUCGCGAAUCAGCAUGUCGGGGUGAAUACGUUCUC